CCUCUAAACCAUAAUGAUAUCAUAACUUAUAUUCUUGCAGGUCUCAACCAUGAAUAUGAUAGUUUUGUGGCCUCAAUUUCAGCACGAAUCAACAACAUCACUCUUGAAGCAAUUUACUCUCUUUUGCUGACAUUUGUAGC
This 140-nucleotide small nucleolar RNA is filed under the name Salix viminalis (osier). It matches the Rfam family "Small nucleolar RNA Z247". Rfam says of the family: Z247 is a member of the C/D class of snoRNA which contain the C (UGAUGA) and D (CUGA) box motifs. Most of the members of the box C/D family function in directing site-specific 2'-O-methylation of substrate RNAs. Lineage: Eukaryota; Viridiplantae; Streptophyta; Magnoliopsida; Malpighiales; Salicaceae. The record is from RNAcentral.